RNAcentral lists this ribosomal RNA (560 nucleotides) under uncultured Sphingobacteriales bacterium. RNAcentral describes it as "bacterial SSU rRNA". It matches the Rfam family "Bacterial small subunit ribosomal RNA", at positions 46 to 604 of the family's 1533-position model. Lineage: Bacteria; Pseudomonadati; Bacteroidota; Sphingobacteriia; Sphingobacteriales. The record is from RNAcentral.
GCUAAUACAUGCAAGUCGAACGAUACUACCGGGCUUGCUCGGUAGGAAGGUGGCGCACGGGUGCGUAACGCGUAUGCAACCUACCUUAAUCAGGGGGAUAGCCCGAAGAAAUUCGGAUUAAUACCGCAUAAAAACACAGGAUAGCAUUAUCCAAUGUUCAAAUAUUUAUAGGAUUAAGAUGGGCAUGCGUGUCAUUAGCUAGUUGGCGGGGUAACGGCCCACCAAGGCGACGAUGACUAGGGGAUCUGAGAGGAUGACCCCCCACACUGGUACUGAGACACGGACCAGACUCCUACGGGAGGCAGCAGUAAGGAAUAUUGGUCAAUGGAGGGAACUCUGAACCAGCCAUGCCGCGUGCAGGAAGACGGCCCUCUGGGUUGUAAACUGCUUUUAUUCGGGAAUAAACCUACUUACGUGUAAGUAGCUGAAUGUACCGAAGGAAUAAGGAUCGGCUAACUCCGUGCCAGCAGCCGCGGUAAUACGGAGGAUCCAAGCGUUAUCCGGAUUUAUUGGGUUUAAAGGGUGCGUAGGCGGCCUAUUAAGUCAGGGGUGAAAGACGG